RNAcentral lists this ribosomal RNA (504 nucleotides) under bacterium enrichment culture clone Cont248_3130. RNAcentral describes it as "bacterial SSU rRNA". It matches the Rfam family "Bacterial small subunit ribosomal RNA", at positions 8 to 525 of the family's 1533-position model. The record is from RNAcentral.
AGAGUUUGAUCAUGGCUCAGGACGAACGCUGGCGGCGUGCUUAACACAUGCAAAGUCGAACGGUGACCUCGGAGCUUGCUCCGGGUGAUCAGUGGCGAACGGGUGAGUAACACGUGAGCAACCUGCCCCCGACUCUGGGAUAACCCCGGGAAAUCGGAGCUAAUACCGGAUACGAGACGUACAGGCAUCUGUUGCGUCUGGAAAGAAUUUCGGUCGGGGAUGGGCUCGCGGCCUAUCAGCUAGUUGGUGGGUAGUGGCCUACCAAGGCGACGACGGGUAGCCGGCCUGAGAGGGCGACCGGCCACACUGGGACUGAGACACGGCCCAGACUCCUACGGGAGGCAGCAGUGGGGAAUAUUGCACAAUGGGCGCAAGCCUGAUGCAGCGACGCCGCGUGAGGGAUGACGGCCUUCGGGUUGUAAACCUCUUUUUAGAGGAGAUGAGAAAGGGACAGUAUCCUCUGAAUAAGCCUCGGCGAACUACGUGCCAGCCGCCGCGGUAAUA